GACGAACGCUGGCGGCGUGCUUAACACAUGCAAGUCGAGCGGUAAGGCCCUUUCGGGGGUACGACGAGCGGCGAACGGGUGAGUAACACGUGGGUGACCUGCCCUCAGCUCUGGGAUAAGCCCGGGAAACUGGGUCUAAUACCGGAUAUGACUCCACGGUGCAUGUCGUGGGGUGGAAAGCCUUGUGCGGCUGAGGAUGGGCCCGCGGCCUAUCAGCUUGUUGGUGGGGUGAUGGCCUACCAAGGCGACGACGGUAGCCGGCCUGAGAGGGCGACCGGCCACACUGGGACUGAGACACGGCCCAGACUCCUACGGGAGGCAGCAGUGGGGAAUCUUGCGCAAUGGGCGAAAGCCUGACGCAGCGACGCCGCGUGAGGGAUGACGGCCU
Molecule: ribosomal RNA, 388 nt
Filed under: uncultured bacterium
Lineage: Bacteria
Description: bacterial SSU rRNA
Rfam family: Bacterial small subunit ribosomal RNA
Source: RNAcentral